UGCGUAGGCGGUUUGGUAAGUCAGAUGUGAAAUUCCUGGGCUCAACCGAGGAACUGCAUUUGAUACUGCCAGACUAGAGUACUGGAGAGGAGACUGGAAUUUACGGUGUAGCAGUGAAAUGCGUAGAUAUCGUAAGGAAGGCCAGUGGCGAAGGCGAGUCUCUGGACAGUAACUGACGCUGAGGCACGAAGGCUAGGGGAGCAAACG
Molecule: ribosomal RNA, 207 nt
Filed under: uncultured bacterium
Lineage: Bacteria
Description: partial 16S ribosomal RNA
Rfam family: Bacterial small subunit ribosomal RNA
Source: RNAcentral